GCGGGGCUGCGCGGUGCGACAGGUCGCUUUGUCCCUGGGGCCGUAGCACUUCUCUUAGGGAGCUGUCCCUGCCGGGAUCGUGGUCCCGGCAAACGGCGCCCACCUGCUGUUGCAGGGCCCAAGAGGAGACGAUAUGACCACCGGCCGAUGCGGCUCCGCU
Molecule: non-coding RNA, 160 nt
Filed under: Mycobacterium sp. KBS0706
Lineage: Bacteria; Bacillati; Actinomycetota; Actinomycetes; Mycobacteriales; Mycobacteriaceae
Description: 6S RNA
Rfam family: 6S / SsrS RNA
About the family: E. coli 6S RNA was the first non coding RNA to be sequenced, but its function was unknown until recently. It consists of 184 nucleotides that fold into an extended hairpin structure with a large single-stranded internal bulge. The 6S RNA specifically associates with RNA polymerase holoenzyme containing the sigma70 specificity factor.
Source: RNAcentral